Molecule: long non-coding RNA, 271 nt
Organism: Hippopotamus amphibius kiboko
Lineage: Eukaryota; Metazoa; Chordata; Mammalia; Artiodactyla; Hippopotamidae
Exons: 3
Source: RefSeq, a predicted model, not a curated record
CAUGAUACAAGUGAAAAAUUGUAGAGCCUUGAUUUGGAUGUAUAUGAAUGUAUCUCUAUGAAUGUGUUUGCCUGUGUACCUUCUUUUGGAAACAGCGCAGUGAACUGCAAAACUGCUCCUUAGGAAGAGGUGAUCCGAAGAGAGUGCAGCCCAAACACGUAGGGAAAAGGGGCCCCCUUCCCAGAAUCGCCCAUGAAGCCCAAGGACCAAGGAUUGAGGGUCCAGCGUGGAGACAACGCAGCUGGAGCGAAACCAGCCAAUCAGCUGGGAC